RNAcentral lists this ribosomal RNA (472 nucleotides) under uncultured bacterium. Its description in RNAcentral is "partial 16S ribosomal RNA". It matches the Rfam family "Bacterial small subunit ribosomal RNA", at positions 28 to 507 of the family's 1533-position model. The record is from RNAcentral.
GAUGAACGCUGGCGGCAUGCCUAAUACAUGCAAGUCGAACGAACAGACCAGGACCUUUCUCCUCUGACUUUAUAGGCGGUCGGGACAUUAACACAGGUAUAGCCUACCUAUAAGACUGGGGUAACUUCAGCAGACCAUGUCUAAUACCCGAUGAUAUAUUGCACCGCAUGGUUCAAUAGUUGAAGACGAUUUUUCUUACACUUAUAGAUGGAUCCGCGUCGCAUUAGCUAGUGGGUAAGGUAACAGCUUACCAAGGCGACGAUCCAUAGCCGGCCUGAGAGGAUGAUCAGCCACACUGGGGCGAGGACACGGCCCAGACUCCUACGGGAGGCAGCAGUGGGGAAUAUUGGACAAUGGGCUAAAGCCUGAUCCAGCAAUGCCGCGUGAGUGAUGAAGUCCUUAGAGUUGUAAAGCUCUUGUACCCGGGAUGAUAAUGACAGUACCGAGAGAAUAAGCUCCGGCUAACUCCGUG